Danio rerio (zebrafish) is the source of this 1252-nucleotide non-coding RNA. NCBI's taxonomy places the organism in Eukaryota, Metazoa, Chordata, Actinopteri, Cypriniformes, Danionidae. The record is from RefSeq and is a predicted model, not a curated record.
ACUUUUAGGAACAGUGCAAAUGUUGAACGUUAUAAUUUGCGGUUACAUGAACUGGUACAUUGCCCUGCAUUUUAUGACAGAUUUGAAUUGCGUGCCUCUGUUUGAAACUCCAAGGUACUUAACAAGAAAGGAUAAUUGGAUAAUUUGGAUAUUUUCGACGAGGUAAGAAGCUAUAUCUGUAAACGUACUAUCUUUAAAUUACUUAUUAAAUUUAAAUAUCAUGCCAUAAACAUCCAAUCAACACAUAACCAAAGCACCUGUUUAUUUAAUUGCAGGAUCCGACCGUGUGAAUGUCUUGAGAAGAGAAAGGGAGUAACUUUAGCCUAAUUUAGCAAGCUAACGAUAGCUGGAGGACUCAUUUUCACAUCACACACAGAUACACCUUUUCAUUUGCAACUCCGGUGCUUCUAAAAAUAACAUUUUAAGAUCGAGUGAGACCUUUGUUAUUUUUACGUUAUUGCAGUUGGUUUAUAUAGAAAUUGACUAGAGUUACGAUCAGAUUUUAUGCUUGGUAACGUUACCUAAAGUGGCAGAGCUUUUAAUCUUUUUUGUGAGUAAGGAGUAACUGCUAUUAUAAUGAAAAUUCUUUACAAUUCAUUUUUGACCAAUAGAUGUCUGCCACCACUGCUAAUCUUGAAAAGAUGGGUAACCUGCCUGUGACUCCUCAUUUGAUUCUGCCUGGUUCAGAUGAUACUUUGGGCCAGUGGAUAAAACAAUGGAUGAUCAGCAUGGAAGGCAGAGUAAUCUGUGAGGGUGAGCAUGCACACUGGAAUUCCUUCAAAGAUGCUUUGCUGGCAUAAAUCCAGAGAGGGGAACCAAGGCUGUGAGAGGAAAUGUGACAUCAAAAAAAACUGGCAAGACAGUUCAGAAGAAGACCAUGACUGUAAACCCCAAGGUUUCAAACCUUUUAAAGAAACUAAUGGACUUUGAAUGGGACUUUAUUUAAAAUGCAGCUAGCUUGCACCCCCCUACUUUUGCAACACAGAGGCCUUUUUUUCUUUAUUUGCUGAAGCUCAUUUUGGGGCUAUAUAUUUUUAUAUUUUAUAUCCAAGACUAAAUUGUAAAGUGGCUAUUAAUUAAUUUUUUCUAUGACAUUCGGUAAGUUGCUUCUUGUUGUACAAGGCUGAAAACAAUCUUAACAUUUCUGGAGAACUUACAAUUUUUGCCUGUUCUUUGGCUUAAUAUUUUCACAAACACAAUGCAGAUUUUAUUUUGUGUUGUUUGAAAAUAAAAAUGUGAAAUAUAACUUGGA